AUACUAUCAGACACAGAAGUAACAUUCUGAUAUGUACUGCAGUAACAUUCUGAUAUGUACUGCAGUAACAUUCUGAUAUGUACUGUCAGUAACAUUCUGAUAUGUACUGUCAGUAACAUUCUGAUAUGUACUGUCAGUAACAUUCUGAUAUGUACUGCAGUAACAUUCUGAUAUGUACUGCAGUAACAUUCUGAUAUGUACUGCAGUAACAUUCUGGUAUGUACUGCAGUAACAUUCUGAUAUGUACUGCAGUAACAUUCUGACAUGUACUGCAGUGACAUUCUGACAUGUACUGCAGUAACAGCAUGUUAUAAUCCUAUCAGAGACACAGAAGGGACAUUCUGAUAUGUACUGCAGUAACAUUCUGAUAUGUACUGCAGUAACAUUCUGAUAUGUACUGUCAUAACAUUCUGAUAUGUACUGUCAGUAAUAUUCUGAUAUGUACUGCAGUAACAUUCUGAUAUGUACUGUCAGUAACAUUCUGAUAUGUACUGUCAGUAACAUUCUGAUAUGUACUGCAGUAACAUUCUGAUAUGUACUGCAGUAACAUUCUGAUAUGUACUGCAGUAACAUUCUGAUAUGUACUGCAGUAACAUUCUGAUAUGUACUGUCAGUAACAUUCUGAUAUGUACUGUCAGUAACAUUCUGACAGUAACAUUCUGAUAUGUACUGCAGUAACAUUCUGAUAUGUACUGCAGUAACAUUCUGAUAUGUACUGCAGUAACAUUCUGAUAUGACUG
Molecule: long non-coding RNA, 740 nt
Organism: Oncorhynchus tshawytscha (Chinook salmon)
Lineage: Eukaryota; Metazoa; Chordata; Actinopteri; Salmoniformes; Salmonidae
Source: Ensembl